This 497-nucleotide ribosomal RNA is filed under the name uncultured bacterium. RNAcentral's name for it is "partial 16S ribosomal RNA". It matches the Rfam family "Bacterial small subunit ribosomal RNA", at positions 28 to 507 of the family's 1533-position model. The record is from RNAcentral.
GAUGAACGCUGGCGGCGUGCCUAAUACAUGCGAGUCGAGCGAACAGACGAGGCGCUUUCUUCUCUGAUGUUAGCGGCGGAAGGGUGAGUAACACGUGGGUAACCUACCUAUAAGACUGGGAUAACUUCGGGAAACCGGAGCUAAUACCGGAUAAUAUUUUGAACCGCAUGGUUCAAAAGUGAAAGACGGUCUUGCUGUCACUUAUAGAUGGAUCCGCGCUGCAUUAGCUAGUUGGUAAGGUAACGGCUUACCAAGGCAACGAUGCGUAGCCGACCUGAGAGGGUGAUCGCCCACACUGGAACUGAGACACGGUCCAGACUCCUACGGGAGGCAGCAGUAGGGAAUCUUCCGCAAUGGGCGAAAGCCUGACGGAGCAACGCCGCGUGAGUGAUGAAGGUCUUCGGAUCGUAAAACUCUGUUAUUAGGGAAGAACAGACGUGUAAGUAACUGUGCACAUCUUGACGGUACCUAAUCAGAAAGCCACGGCUAACUACGUG